Non-coding RNA from Doryrhamphus excisus (bluestripe pipefish), 67 nucleotides. The record is from RefSeq and is a predicted model, not a curated record. NCBI's taxonomy places the organism in Eukaryota, Metazoa, Chordata, Actinopteri, Syngnathiformes, Syngnathidae.
CUAUUGUGAUGAGUUUUACUUCAUGGUCUGUGUUUCUGACAUCUGAAGAUAAUUAAGUUCUGAGUCU